Molecule: non-coding RNA, 8982 nt
Organism: Dermacentor andersoni
Lineage: Eukaryota; Metazoa; Arthropoda; Arachnida; Ixodida; Ixodidae
Source: RefSeq, a predicted model, not a curated record
AGUACGUCGAAGGGUGCCGUUUCUAGCCAGGCUGUUAUCCAGGACCGGGCUAAGAGUGUAGUUUCAGUGUACGACUUGAGUAAGUGUGCUGGCCUUAUCAGUUGUUAUGACUUGUCUGCACUGAUCGCACGACAGACAGACAGACAGACAGUGAACUUUAUUUGAUCCUGAGGAGCUUCCGCGGGGGCCCCUAUGGGGUACCCGCGGAAGCCGCUGGCCGCGUCCAAGUCGGGGCAGGAAUACCGGGACGUUCCGCCCUUUCUUGGGCCCUCUGGAUUGCCUGUAGUUGUGUGUGCAGCGAUGGGCUCCGGAGUGCCUCUUCCCAGUUGGCUUCGCUGGAUAGAGGGCCGUUAGGUAACGCGGGGCAUUGCCAGAGCAUGUGCGCUAAGGAACAAUAAAUCUCAUUACAGUCCGGACAGCUUGAAUCGAUGUCUGUGGAGAUACGGCUGAGAAAGCCCCGCGAGGGGAAUCAGCCCGUCUGAAGCAUUCUAAGUAUAACUGACUGAGACCUGUAUAACUUCGGGUGAGGAAGAGGAUAGGCCCUUCUACUAAGCCGAUAGUGAGAGGUCAUUUCGUGGAAAGUAAGGAGCGGAUCGUUCUGCUGGAUUUCAUCCGGUCCCCAUAAGGCUUCCAUGCCGGCGCGGCGCGUUAGAUCUCGCGCACGGUCAUGGGAAAGCUCGUUGAGGUUCGAUAUGUUCUGAUGAACGUCCGCACCGAUAUGGGCGGGAAACCAAGAGAUGAAGUGAGUGCCAGGGUUUGUUCUCUUUUCCAGAAUGGAGGCAGCCUCUCGGGCUAGGUUACCCGAUUCGAAAGCUUUGAUGGCCGCUCGUGAGUCUGAAAACGUUGGUGCGCGAGGGGUCGGUCAUGGCCAGGGCUAUGGCGACCUAUUCCGCGACUCCGCUCGUAGCUAACCUAACCGAGGCUGAGGAGUGUAAUUCCCCUUUGCCGUCAAUGAUUGCCAGCGCGAAUGUGCUAGACUUGCCGUACUGAGCCGCGUCGACAAAGACAGUCGAAUCUUGAUUCUCGCCGGCCUUCUGUAAAAUCGCCCGUGCUCGGGCCUUUCGCCUCCCUACAUUCUAUUGUGGGUGCAUAUAUUCUGAGGAAAUGGGCUGACCACAAAGGUUGUCCGGGCCUCCCUGGAUAAGGUGAUUUCCUGUUCGUUGAGAAUUGUGGGAGCCAUGCCAGCCCCAUCUAGGAUGCGUCUCCCUGCCCUGGUUGACGAGAGCCUGACUGUCUGAGCGGUGACGUGCGCUUCGAUCACUUCAUCAAUGUCGUUGUGCAUACCGAGUUUGCUUAACCUGUCCGUGCAAGUGAUUACUGGUAACCCCAGUAAUUUUUGAUGCUCUUGCGCAUGAGAGUGUUAAGCUUAUUCUUUUCGGUUUUGGUCCAGUUAAGGGCCGAGGCUACAUAGUUGAUGUGACUCAUUAGGAAAGUGUGAUGGAUCCUGAGGAGGUUGUCUUCACCUAGUCUCUUCUUUCGUCCGGAUACUCUAGCAACGAGUCUCAGCAUACUUUCGGUUUUGGCCUUGAUGCGCGUGAGCGUUUUCGCGUUACAUCCUCUCGCGUCAAUCAGUAAUUUUGGGAUUCGGAUAUAUUCGACUUGAGGAAUGUGCUGCUCGUUUCUUGCAAAGAGGGAUAUCGGAAGUUGGUUAAGGGGGGGUGAGCCCCCUAACACCUUGCCUGGCCGGCCUGUAUAGUAACAAUUAAGAUUUGUUUGGGGACAGUUGGAGGCCUGUGUCUUCCAGGUAGGACUCCGUUGCGUCUAGGGCUGAUUGCAGCGCGUGCUCUACUUAUGCAAGUGAUCCUCCCAGGCACCAGGUCGUGAUAUCGUCCGCGUAUAGCCAGUUGCCUAUAUUAGGAGGGGAUCUGCGCCUCUCCGAUAAGCCCUUCAUGACUAUGUUGAAUAGCAAGGGGGAGAUGACUGCUCCUUGGGGAGUGCCUCUGGCCCCUAGUGCGAACUCAUGUGGACUUGAGUAGCGCAAUCCUGAUGGUGGCUGUUCGGUUCAUGAGGAAUGAUCUAACAAAAGCCUGAAACUUUGCUCCCAGACCUAGGCUGGUCGUGGCCUGCAGGACAAAUCGAUGAGAUACUGUGUCAAAGGCCUUGGUCAGGUCAAGGGAUAAGAUCCCCCUAACGUCCUUAGUGCUAUUAUCGAAAAUGUGCUUAAGGAGUACCAUUACAUCCUGUGUGGAAAGGCCGGGCCUGAAGCCGACCAUGUUGUGCGGGAAUAGUUCCUUGCGUUCUGUGUAAUCCGAGAUCCUGUGGAGGAUCGCAUGCUCCGCUACCUUGUCUACGCAAGAGGUUAGCAAUAUCGGCCUUAGGUUGUCAAGGUUUAGGGGCUUACCCGGUUUCGGGAUAAGCACAACCUAGGCCGCUUUCCACUCGUCCGGGACGCAUCCGUUUUCCCAAGUCUUGUUGAUAUCUUUCGUUAGCAGCUCAGUUGACCUAUCAUCCAGGUUCCUUAGCAGUCUGAGAUGCCGUCCGGACCUGAGGCCGACCUGCUAUUUAAGAUGUGAAGUAUUGUUCUCAUUUCCGACUCCGUAAAGGGGUCAUCGAGCCCCGUUACCGCGUCACAUUCGAUGCUGGGAUACUCCUCUGAGCGUGCUGCGCCUAGUGGGAGAUAUCUAUUGGCUACCUCGUCUAAGAGCGUUUGUUCUGUUCCUCGUUCUUGUUUGUGCCUGUGAAUGAGGCGGCACAAUGUCUGUCUUUGAUUGCCUUUGGUUUGUGUGUCAUCUAGCAUGUGUUUAAGGAGAUUCCAUUUUCCCCUUGUGCGUAUGCGCCCAUUGACUGCUGAGCAGAUUUCACCCCACUGUAGCCUAGCUAACUCGGUGCAGUACUGUUCAAUCUCCCUGUUAAGUGCGGCAACCCUCUUCUUUCGCAACCUUCGGUUCAGCCAUUGUGUUUUCCAUCGCCUCAAAAUGGAGGCUUUGGUUUCCAAGGGAUGUGCGAGGUGCGGGUCCAUCCUUGAAACCUCGAGCUCGGUUUGAAUAGUUUUUGUAGCCUUUUCAACGUCUGAUCUGAGUGUCUCGACGAGUUCGCUGAAGCUCCAUGUCCUCCUUUCUGAGCUUACGGAAAGCAUCCCAGUCCGUCACUCUAAAUUCCCUGGCCUGGAAGGCUCUGACCUGAAGGGUAACACUAAUGAUGAAGUGAUCGCUGCCCAGGUUUUCUUGCUUGUUAUCUCAAAUUGUUUGCUCUACAUUUCUGGUAAGGGCGAGAUGGGGGGUUGUGUUUCUAGCCACCGACGUACCCAGUCGUGGGGAAACGGGGAUCGGGGAUGACUGUUAGCGCUAGGAGGUCAUCGACUGCCCGCGCUAGAUUUGUACCCUUAAGGCUCAAUCACACCGGCGACUUGAGGAGGUCGCGCGACCAUUUGCGACUCGUGACCAAAAAGCGACCGAAGGCGGCUGAUGUUCACACCGGCAAGCCCGGCUGAGCGCGCCGCGCAAGUUGCAAUCCCGGAGAUUAUCGUUCUCAGCGAGAACUCUCGGAAUCUACGCAGUUCAAGCGCACUUCGCUCGUCUCCCGGCAACAGCCAUGGAUUUCGAUUCUAGCGAAGUGGAAGACGUCGUCAGUGUACUGAUGUGCUCUGCCGUGGUGUCACUCCUGCCAGCGCGGAAGCCCCCGAAAAAGAAGCGACGCUGGUGGGUGCGCCCGUGCCUCCGUUCGCGAGAAGUGGCCGGCCACGCAAGCCGCCUCCUGCCCGAACUCCGCGCCCAUGACGAGGAGUAUUAUCGAGACUUCCUGCGAAUGCCGCCCAGCACAUUCGACACGUUGCUGGAACUGCUGCGCCCCAGCAUCACAAAGGAAGACACUAACUACAGGCCUGCAGUCUCGGCUCAUGAUCGCCUAGCCAUGACCGUCAGGUUCUUGGCCACAGGAGAGACGCAGCGGGACAUGUCGUUCAACUUCCUCUGUAUCUUCAGCAUCCGCAAGGAGCUGAUAUGAAUGGUUUAAGGUAUCCGCAGAGUUUGAGGAGCGGUGGAAUAUGCCAUACUGCGUCGGGGCAAUUGAUGGGAAGCACGUGAACGUUGAGUGCCCCGCAAAUUCUGGAACCCUUGACCAUAACUAAAAGGGUUCAUUCAGCAAAUCACUCCUUGUAGUCUGCGACGCACAAUACAGGUUCCUGUACAUGGAAAUUGGCCACAGUGGCAGCGAGAGUGACGGCGGCAUUUUUUCACGGUCCACUCUACAGAAAGAUUACCAGAGGGACAUUAGGGCUGCCACCGCCAAGACCUGUUGGGAGUGAGGGGCUUCUCCCAUACUUCCUUGUUGGCGAUGAGGCCUUGCCGCUCAAGGAAUAUACAUGAUGUGGCCAUACCCACGGCGGAGUAGCACUGCAUGAAGACUCACGCGAGACGUACAAGCGGCGAGUUUUCAACUACCGCUUGAGCAGGGCCCGGCGAGUCAUCGAAAACGUCUUUGGAAUCCUGGCACAACGGUGGAGAACUCUGCUGCGACCGUUCAAAGCCAAGACCGACAAUAUUAGUAGAUAUGUGGGAGCCUGCAUAGUGCUGCACAAUUUUUUGAUGAAGGAGUCAUCAGCCUCUUCUGCUGCAUACUGUCCGCCAGGUUCUGCUGACAGCGAGGACUGGGAAGGGCGACUUUCCCCUGGCAGCUGGAAGGAGGAGGAAUCAGCCGGUGGUGCCCUCUUGCCAUCAAAGUCUACUGGGUGUCACGCUGCUCGGUGCGCAGGUUACUUGUAUUUCAAAAUAUGUUUGCUCUUAGAAAUUUGAAAGGUGGGCAAAUUAAACCUGGCAUAUGAUGUUUAUAGGUAGGCGAAAGAAGUUCGGGACACACUGGCACACCACUUCAUCACAGCCGGCCAAGUUCCCUGGCAAGAUAGUGUGUUGUCAAAUAAGUUUAUUCAUAACAAACGUUUGCAUUCUACAUAGGAAUUUCUUGUGCAAAAAAUGUCACAAAUGCACAGGGAAACAAGCAAUGGGAGUGUCAUAGGAAGUUAAUCCUUGAAAUUAAAAUAUCACAUAUGUCUUACCUGCACACAUAACAGUAUUGCAUAUUCAUCUAUGUUUGACAAAGGCACACGUGCACAAAUAUCACAAUGACACCUCGAAUACAAGGCAAUAAUUGGUAAAAAAAAGUUGGUACAGUUGCAGUAGCAGCUUAAAAUAUUCCUUAAUAUUUCUGACUGUGUGGUGAUAAUACAACUACAAAGCUCACCACAGAUCACUGCAAAAGGUUACUGUAAGGCACUGUUUAAAAAAAAAAGUUUUCACAAUACUAAAGAAAAGUAUGAGGAAAAUACAAAAAAUAACCUAAAAAUAUGCUGAUGAUAAUGACUAGAAUAUGCACCAGCAUCCGAGGUAAAUGUUCCUUUUAAUUGCUGGUGUUCCUAUUUUCCACUUCUGUCUGAUAUAUCAUUGACUCCAUCAGGUGCAUCAGGUCUUGCGCUACAUGAAUUGGCAGUGCCCGCAGGCGCGCAUGAGUUCUCAGCGCAAAAUACGCAAUGUCGUCCCUUUUGUUUGCGGUUUCGUGCUCCCUUAGUUGCACUAGAUGCUCCAUACAGGCUUGCGCAACAGCCUCGUUGCUUGAGCUCUCACCUGCAUGGUUGUAGAGGAAGUAUGUCAUCUUGGAUGCAUCAAUACUCAUGCUCCAGGCGCACUAUUUCUUGCUAUUUCUUGCACUUGGUGGCAUGCGUAGCUUUGUUGCCGAAAUGUAGCUUAAAUUUUUGUAGAUUUAUGUUCGGUAAACAUUACACGUCUCUCACCUCGAACCUUCAGUUUGUUUGCGAUUCCUCGAUGUCCUCGGGCUGCAGGCAGUAAAGCGUAGUGUGUUAGGUUGUACAAAAAAAAGCAUUCUUGCAACCACUUCAAAGGGUUUCUUAUUGGUAGAAAAUUGAAAACAUUGCUCACAUACCGUUUCGGUGGUGGCACCUCUACUGUUUCCACAGGUGUUUGUUCUGUGGUAUCUCUGCAAAAUCAACCACUAUUACAGCACAGCAGGCAGUAAGCAUAGCGUGUUAUGUUGUACAAGAAUGAUGUCAUGCAAGAAUUAUUAAGCGUUGCUGAUUGCUGGAACUUUUAUCAUCUUUGCUCACAUUAGCGCUGAUAGUAUCUGCGCUGGCUCCUCUCCUAUGUCUUCUCUGUAAUCUCUGCAAAAGAAACCACUAUUACAGCACAGCUGGAUUCAACAUCAUUGCGUCGUUAAGCAUAACCUCUGAAAAACCAGGUGCAUUUCUCAGUACUUCUGCGAAUUCAGAGAGCUAAGAAACAUGGAAAUUACAUUUCAUGCAGUAAUCCACACAAACAUGAUUGUGUUAACAGUAUAUUAAAUUUAAAGUUUUCUUUACGCAGAAUUGCAGGUCUUCAUGUCUGCUUCCAGGCGUCCGAGGAAACCCCUGGUUGGUUGCCACCUGUUACUUCUGCUCGGCUGCAAUGACAGUGGAAAAGCAACCUUUUACAUAUGACAUUGCUACAUGCAGAUGCCAUUACCAGUGGUCAGCUGCCUGCCAGUCAUUCAUGCCUACUCACCUCACAUUACGCACAUGCUGUAGUAUAAGCGAUGUGUAUUUCAGUUCACCUCAUAAGAAAACAACAUUCUCAAUGUUUUCUGUUGUACUACUCUUUCAGUUGCUCUAAAUGGUGUUUUACUUUUACUACUUUUUGACUUGUACUUGGUUAUAGUUCCUUGUCAUUUUUGCGUUUCUUUCGUUACUCAAUCUUCAUAUAAUAAUGUUAUUUUUAUGCCCUUUUUCAGUCAACUAUAUAUUCCUUUUAUGUAUUUGCCUUGUACUGCGUCUAUUGCACCGUUGCUCUGAUUUAUUAUUUCUGUACUGUAUUUAUAUUGAUAUGUCCCUCUCACCCAUGCUCUUCGGGGCCUGUGAGGAAUCAUGAAAAAAAUAUAGUAUGAGAUGUACCAGCAUACAAGCUAUGUUUUGAAAUGUUGUGAAUUAGCACUUUCUGCCCUCAUAAGUACAAUCUUGUAAAGUUGUCAAGGUUCCACUUACGGUUAGGUUUACGUUACGGUCACCCAUUGCAUGGCAGAAACUACAUAGUUUACGCCUAUCUUAAAUGUAGGCUGCAAUUUAUACGUUACCUUGAUCGAGUGUCCUCCAUGCUGCACAGUAAAAGUUCACCGUCGCAAACCUGAUUUUUGUGGCUUGAUCCAGCUUAUUAAAUUUAUAGGUCUUGCACAUCUUAAUGCCAUGACAUGCAGGUGCUCAAGGGCUACUGUAUUUUUUGGACAAUAAGUUUCUUUUUGCAAGGUUUCGUCCGAGUGUGUUGCACAAUGACGAGACUUAAAUAGCAUAAAACCAUGGACGAUAGCGAAACCAAUAUAGGCGGUUUUUUUUUCCUGAGCACUCUAUGCCGCAGGAGUAGUGCCAGGAAGGUCAACACCUUGUAAAAGUUAUUGAGACGUCGACGACGGUGACUCAGCAAUGCUGCCGGUUGAAGUAGCUUUGACUAGUAUAGCUGCGACAGAGAAAGAUGCCUUCGAUGGCUUCAACAGAAGUCCAAUAAGCGUUCGUUUUGCACACUGUGAGGAGUGUUGGCUGAACUUUCUUUGCCGCUAGAAUUAGCAGCUCCUAAAACUUUUUACAGAAAUUUAGUGAACUUAAGUAUAGCAUUUUGAGAUUAGCGUACAAGCAUGCAUACCUAAUCAUGUUUCAUCAUGCCAACCAACUUAAUAUAGUCUCACUCCGGUGUGAUUUGUAGAUAAAUGUUUUCUUUGAAAAUUGCUAAGAGUUCAACUUCGGACUAUACAGAGGUGCAACGUAUAGUAAUGAGUAUAUUGAAAUAAUGCUUUGUUUGCGAUAAAUAAGUUAAUUUGAGGCUACAGAAAUUUUGUUAUUGUCCAUUGCCUGCUAGCGCAAACAGCAUUUGAAUGUAUGCUGAGCACGCAUGUCUCCUGUGAAACUUUCAUUUGUCUGUGCGUUUGCAGGCAUGAAAAUAAAAUGUUUCAUUGCGAGAACAAAACAAACUUACACUACAGGUUCUGAUGCCACCUCCGUUAAUUCCAGCAUGGCCUCGAAGUGGGGCGAUUUAAUGGUGGGGACAUCAACCGCUCCUGCACCACUACGCUGCUUAUCGCGCACCUCCUGUUGCUUCCUCUUGAAAAUGUCUCUCAAGUUUUUAAACUUUUUUUUCUGCAAAGGUUCUUGCAAAAUAAAUAUGCAAUUGUACGUUGACAGCAACAUGAGAUCACACGGAGUAAAGUAUGCUAUAAAGAAGCCUCUUCUCUCCGUUUCUUCGUAGUGCGUUAGCCGCAAUAUUUAUGAGAAAGAUGCCUUCGAUGGCUUCAACAAAAGUCCAAUAAGCGUUCGUUUUGCACACUGUGAGGAGUGUUGGCUGAACUUUCUUUGCCGCUAGAAUUAGCAGCUCCUAAAAAUUUUUACAGAAUUUUAGUGAACUUAAGUAUAGCAUUUUGAGAUUAGCGUACAAGCAUGCAUACCUAAUCCUGUUUCAUCAUGCCAACCAACUUAAUAUAGUCUCACUCCGGUGUGAUUUGUAGAUAAAUGUUUUCUUUGAAAAUUGCUAAGAGUUCAACUUCGGACUAUACAGAGGUGCAACGUAUAGUAAUGAGUAUAUUGAAAUAAUGCUUUGUUUGCGAUAAAUAAGUUAAUUUGAGGCUACAGAAAUUUUGUUAUUGUCCAUUGCCUGCUAGCGCAAACAGCAUUUGAAUGUAUGCUGAGCACGCAUGUCUCCUGUGAAACUUUCAUUUGUCUGUGCGUUUGCAGGCAUGAAAAUAAAAUGUUUCAUUGCGAGAACAAAACAAACUUACACUACAGGUUCUGAUGCCACCUCCGUUAAUUCCAGCAUGGCCUCGAAGUGGGGCGAUUUAAUGGUGGGGACAUCAACCGCUCCUGCACCACUACGCUGCUUAUCGCGCACCUCCUGUUGCUUCCUCUUGAAAAUGUCUCUCAAGUUUUUAAACUUUUUUUUCUGCAAAGGUUCUUGCAAAAUAAAUAUGCAAUUGUACGUUGACAGCAACAUGAGAUCACACGGAGUAAAGUAUGCUAUAAAGAAG